GACAAGGUGGCUGAAUGGUUAAAGGCGACAGAUUGCAAACCUGUUCUUUGCAGGUUCAAAUCCUGUCCUUGUCU
Molecule: transfer RNA, 74 nt
Filed under: Winogradskyella sp. PG-2
Lineage: Bacteria; Pseudomonadati; Bacteroidota; Flavobacteriia; Flavobacteriales; Flavobacteriaceae
Description: tRNA-Cys (GCA) (tRNA-Cys-GCA-2-1)
Rfam family: tRNA
About the family: Transfer RNA (tRNA) molecules are approximately 80 nucleotides in length.
Source: Rfam by way of RNAcentral